RNAcentral lists this ribosomal RNA (491 nucleotides) under uncultured bacterium. Its description in RNAcentral is "partial 16S ribosomal RNA". It matches the Rfam family "Bacterial small subunit ribosomal RNA", at positions 29 to 507 of the family's 1533-position model. The record is from RNAcentral.
GUGAACGCUGGCGGUAGGCCUAACACCUGCAAGUCGAACGGCAGCACAGUAAGAGCUUGCUCUUACGGGUGGCGAGUGGCGGACGGGCGAGGAAUACAUCGGAAUCUACUUUUUCGUGGGGGAUAACGUAGGGAAACUUACGCUAAUACCGCAUACGACCUACGGGUGAAAGCAGGGGAUCUUCGGACCUUGCGCGAUUGAAUGAGCCGAUGUCGGAUUAGCUAGUUGGCGGGGUAAAGGCCCACCAAGGCGACGAUCCGUAGCUGGUCUGAGAGGAUGAUCAGCCACACUGGAACUGAGACACGGUCCAGACUCCUACGGGAGGCAGCAGUGGGGAAUAUUGGACAAUGGGCGCAAGCCUGAUCCAGCCAUACCGCGUGGGUGAAGAAGGCCUUCGGGUUGUAAAGCCCCUUUGUUGGGAAAGAAAAGCAGCAGGUUAAUACCCCGCUGUUCUGACGGUACCCAAAGAAUAAGCACCGGCUAACUUCGUG